AUGUGGAAGGACAGACAUACAUGGACAUGGACAUGUGGGUUGCACAGGAGAAGCUCUGGCGGACGGACGGACGCCGUGGUGGCAGCGGCAGCGGCAAUCAUUGAAGCUUCCCUUGUGCUUGUGCGGCCUCCUUGUCCUCCAUCUCACAUGGCAUGGCGGGUCUGCUCGGCGACUCCCUCUGGUCCGGUUCCCCGGCGGCGGGAUGGCGCCACCUGCUCUCAGUUAAAACCCCUGUGUCAUUGGUUCUGCUCCUGGCCCCAGGUGCUCCUACCCAAGUGCCCUGCCAUGCCAUGCCACGGUGUCCAAGAUCAAAUUCUUUAG
Molecule: ribosomal RNA, 321 nt
Filed under: Triticum aestivum (bread wheat)
Lineage: Eukaryota; Viridiplantae; Streptophyta; Magnoliopsida; Poales; Poaceae
Description: partial small subunit ribosomal RNA
Source: RNAcentral